AUAUACAUCUCCCAAACUAACCAGAUCAAAAGGGAAGUAACAUAUCAUCAAUAGCUGAACAUGAACAUCAUAACAGGAAUCCUGCUGCUGCAGAUGCUGACUGGAUUGCAGAGUCAGAUAUUGUCUGAGUCUGAACCAGCUGUAGUAAAACCUGGUCAAUCUCAUAAACUGACCUGCACUGCUUCUGGGCUAGACUUUGAUGGCUACUGGAUGGCUUGGAUCAGGCAGGAUCCUGGGAAAGGGCUGGAAUGGUUGUCAACUAUCUCACCUGGUGGUGUCACUACAUAUUAUUCAAGCUCUGCACAGGGAAGAUUCACCAUCUCCAGAGACAACAAUGUGGACCAGCUGUAUCUGCAGAUGAACAGCCUGAAGACUGAGGACACUGCUGUGUAUUACUGUGCCCGAGACCCACAGUGACAGAAGAGUCUGGAGAGAUGAACAAAAACUCACAGUGAAAAGAAGGGCACUGAGCUGUGACUGUCGGUUCAAAAACACAGUUUUACAGUCUUAUGCCUUGUUUGCAGUCACAAAAGAGGCUGCCUUGCAGUACAAGAAAUAACAGAGAUUUUAUUUUUGUUUUAUUUAAAAUAAAUGAUUAAAAUGCACAUGGUAUAUAUAAAGCAA
This is a non-coding RNA of Clupea harengus (Atlantic herring), 624 nucleotides long. NCBI's taxonomy places the organism in Eukaryota, Metazoa, Chordata, Actinopteri, Clupeiformes, Clupeidae. The record is from the annotation of a RefSeq genome assembly.